RNAcentral lists this transfer RNA (74 nucleotides) under Verrucomicrobiales bacterium. Its description in RNAcentral is "tRNA-His". It matches the Rfam family "tRNA". Rfam says of the family: Transfer RNA (tRNA) molecules are approximately 80 nucleotides in length. Their secondary structure includes four short double-helical elements and three loops (D, anti-codon, and T loops). The record is from RNAcentral. RNAcentral also lists the same sequence under 1 other name. Lineage: Bacteria; Pseudomonadati; Verrucomicrobiota; Verrucomicrobiia; Verrucomicrobiales.
GUGGUCAUGGUGUAACAGCAGCACUGCGCCCUGUGACGGCGCCGGUAUCGGUGCAAAUCCGUUUGGCCACCCCA